CCUGGCGGCAGUAGCGCGGUGGUCCCACCUGACCCCAUGCCGAACUCAGAAGUGAAACGCCGUAGCGCCGAUGGUAGUGUGGGGUCUCCCCAUGCGAGAGUAGGGAACUGCCAGGG
RNAcentral lists this ribosomal RNA (116 nucleotides) under Escherichia coli. The record is from RNAcentral. Lineage: Bacteria; Pseudomonadati; Pseudomonadota; Gammaproteobacteria; Enterobacterales; Enterobacteriaceae.